RNAcentral lists this ribosomal RNA (253 nucleotides) under uncultured bacterium. RNAcentral describes it as "partial 16S ribosomal RNA". It matches the Rfam family "Bacterial small subunit ribosomal RNA", at positions 524 to 776 of the family's 1533-position model. The record is from RNAcentral.
UACGGAGGGUGCAAGCGUUGUUCGGAAUCACUGGGCGUAAAGGGCGUGUAGGCGGUCCGCUAAGUCUGAUGUGAAAGCCCGGGGCUCACCCCCGGAAGGGCAUUGGAAACUGGCGGACUCGAGUCCCGGAGAGGAAGGUGGAAUUCCUGGUGUAGCGGUGAAAUGCGUAGAUAUCCGGAGGAACACCAGUGGCGAAGGCGGCUUCCUGGACCAAUACUGACGCUGAGGCGCGAAAGCGUGGGGAGCGAACAGG